This 355-nucleotide long non-coding RNA is filed under the name Phascolarctos cinereus (koala). RNAcentral describes it as "lncRNA (ENSPCIG00000022087.2)". The record is from RNAcentral. Lineage: Eukaryota; Metazoa; Chordata; Mammalia; Diprotodontia; Phascolarctidae.
CCCCCCAAAACUGGUUCAGAAGCAAGAGUGGUGGAAAUAACUACUUCUCGGGUCUUUCUUUACUUUAAAUAUUCCCUGGAUCCCCUGCCGAGGAGUUGAUGGAGCUGUGAAACAGGAGCUACAUUUGGAGUCAGAAAACCUACAUUCAAAUACAGCUUUGACACCUACCACCUUGGGCAAGUCGCUUACUAUCUCUAGGCCUCAGUUUCCUCAUCUGUAAAAUGAGGGAGUUGGACAAGAAGAUGUUUAAGGUCAGUUCUAGCUCAGAGUCUAUGAAUUUCCAUUGUAGACUUCAUCUUUCUGGAUGACACAUCCCCUUGCAGUGUCAACCCUAUCAUUUUUUCCUAAUUUUACA